This 7215-nucleotide long non-coding RNA is filed under the name Heterocephalus glaber (naked mole-rat). RNAcentral describes it as "lncRNA (ENSHGLG00000044405.1)". Lineage: Eukaryota; Metazoa; Chordata; Mammalia; Rodentia; Bathyergidae. The record is from RNAcentral.
GGGUUUUGCUUUACUGCCCAGGCUGACCCAGAAUUCCUGGGCUGGAGUGAUCUUCCUGCCUUGGCCUCUAGAGUAGCUGGGACUGCCGAUGGGAUUCCACAGUGCCACACUGUCAGGCUUUCUGAUGUUUGAAUCACAUUAGUGUAGGCUUCUCUCACUGUUGAACCUUUUUUUGUUUUUUUCUGAACUUUUUACUAACCGAAUUACUAAUUCCAAAUUCUCAGGAACAAACAGAUUUGCUUAAAAAUUAACAUCCCUCCCUAUCAGAAUAUUUUGUACCUAGUACUCAAACAAACAAGGCUUUAUAACACGAAACAGAUGUUACUAAGACCGAAAGUCUCCCCUUGCCGGGGAGUGUGUGGCUCUGUACAAUCCUGACCUCCUGCCAGGCCCUACCUCCUGGGCCUGUCCCGCCUCAUCUCCCUUUUCUGGAACCGAAGCCCCAAGGACGGCGGGCCUUUGCUCUCCCCAUCCACACGGGCUGGUGGCCACAGCCGCUGGAGACAGCGGCACCUGACAGCCUCCUUCCCGGGGGGCACUCAGCGCGGGUGGAUGACCCCUUGCUGGGUCUCCCUCUGAGCAGGACGGGGGACAGAAGUGGUCCCAGGAGAUCGCGCAGGGGCUGCUCCCAGCCCUGGCCUCGGCCUCAACCCCCACCCCUGUGGUCCUCUAAGAACCUUCCCCGCGGUCCCCGCCCCGUCCCGUCCCACCCUCUGCUCUGCAAGUGCUGGGUGCUGCCCCGCCCGCUCCAACCUCCUUCUCCCCGGCGCUGGUCGGGUCGGUCUGGAGGGCCAGGUCUGACCGUGAGGCGUUGGCGUUGGCCGGACUGGCUGCGCCGGACGUGGGGCCGCCUCCAUCCAGUCAAGGCGGAGCCGGCAGCCAGCGGCCAGGGGCUGGAGGCCCAGGCGCUUCCAGCCAUGGGCAGGGGCUCGCUGAGAGCUCCGGGAUUGGCGGUGCCGCGGUGGCUGCUGUCACUACUGCUGCUGUCUCGGGGGCCAGUGUCUGGCGCUUGGUUGCUUCCAGGAAAUACUUCUGGAGAGCCAGUCACCACCCCCUGGGUCCUGGAUGGACAACCCUGGCUCACCAUCGUCCUGAAAGAGCCGAUCUCGACACUAGACUCAGGCCUGGUGGCCUUGGAAGCUGAAGGCCAGGAGUUCCUGCUUGAGCUGGAGAAGAACCACAGGCUGCUGGCUGCUGGUUACACAGAAACCCACUAUAGCCAAGAUGGCCAGCCAGUGGUGCUGGUCCCCAACCACAUGGGCGAGACACUUCUGUGGGCUCUGAGGACAGGGUGAGGGUGCUGGGGAUGGCACCUGGGAUAGCUCCUCACGAUCCCUACCCCAACCCUCCAACUCCGUUCCUAGGGGAAGUUGGAGCCACCCCUCCCCUCCCCUUCCUGCUCCCGUUCCCUCUUGGCUUCUGCCCUGGCUGAGGUUUGGGCUCAGGUUCCUUCCUCUCCAGGACCACUGUCACUACCACGGAGAGUGAGGGGCUUCCCCAACUCUUCGGUUAUGCUCAGCACCUGCUCUGGGAUGAGGGGCUUGAUCAGGCUCAACAGCAAUGCCAGCUAUUACCUGCAGCCCCUGGCCACCUGGAGACCCAGAGGACCUCUCAACCCACAGGACUUUCCGGAUGGAGAGGCUGCUCACCUGGAAAGGGACCUGCCAGCUACAGUGACCCCCGAGGACAAAGGGGGCAUGGCCAGGCUUCGUCCUGCCCCUCAGAGCAGGGAGAGGCGAGAAGCCCCCAGGGGCCAGAGGUACCUGGAGCUAUACGUAGUAGCCGACCACCCCCUGUACUUGACCCAGCACCGGAACUUGAACCAUACCAAAGAGCGCGUCUCCUGGAGGUUGCCAGUUAUGCAGACCAGAUCCUCAGGACGCUGGACAUCCAGGUGGUGCUGACAGGCCUGGAAGUGUGGACAGAGCAAGACCACAGCCGCGUCACACCCACGCCUGGCAACGCCACGCUCUGGGACUUCCUGAAGUGGCGCGGGGGCUGUGGGCACGGCUGGCCGCACGACUCGCGCGCAGCUACUCACGGGCUGCACCUUCCGGGGCGCCACUGUGGGCCUGGCGCCCGUCGAGGGCAUGUGUCGCGCAGAGAGGCUCGGGCGGUGUGAGCACGGACCACUCGGAGCUCCCCACCGGCGCUGCGGCCACCAUGGCCCAUGAGAUCGCCACAGCCUGGGCCUCAGCCACGACCUCGAUGGCUGCUGCGUGGAGGUCGCGGCAGAGCAAGGCGGCUGCAUCAUGGCCGCCGCCACGGGUACUCGCGGGCUAGGGCGGGGCCUAGGCUUAUUCCUCUGCGUGCUGCUUCACGUUAUCCCUCAGUUUCUCUUUUGUAAAAUGGUGGUGGUGACAACCACUUGUCCUCAUGGUUGUUUAUGAGGCCUCAGUGGAAGAAACGCAGGUAAAGUGGAUUCUCACGAGUAUGAAGAUUUUGAGAAAAACCUAGCAAGGUUGCUCCAACGCCGGAGCAAACGGCACGCGUAGGGCUGCGGUGUGGCUAACGCCAGGCCUGAGAAUCCAGGCUGAGUGCGGGCUGGGGUGUCCUGCGCUCCCGACGCCUCCCCCCCGCCCCUAGGCACCCGUUCCCGCGCCUCUUCAGCGCCUGCAGCCGCCGCCAACUGCGGGCCUUCUUCCGCAAGGGGGGCGGCGCGUGCCUCUACAACGCCCCAGACCCCGGGCUUCAGAUCCCGCCCACGCGCUGCGGGAACGGCUUCGUGGAAGCGGGCGAGGAGUGCGACUGCGGCUCUGAGCAGGUCAGGUCCGCCUGCCCGACCUCUGGGGACCGAGCCUGGCCCUCCUCCAGCGGUCAGGGGCGCGGUGCCCGCAUCUGUUCCAGUUUCACUUUUCUGGCCCCAGAAGUGCCCAGACCCCUGUUGCUUCGCCCACAACUGCUCGUUACAUGCGGGGGCCCAGUGUGCCCACGGGGACUGCUGCGCGCGCUGCCUGGUGAGGGCGGGUUGGUCCUGGUUGGUUGGCGCCCCCUGGUCCUCUAUGAGCGGGUCGCCUGGCCCUCGCGCCGGCUCCCCAUCUCUGAACAAGCUUGGCUCAGAUCUGUCACUGUCCAUUGACUCAACCGGGCCCCUGCGCAGCUGAAGCCAGCUGGCUCGCCGUGCCGCCAGGCUGCAGGAGACUGUGACCUCCCUGAGUUCUGCACUGGCUCUUCCCCCACUGUCCCCCGGAUGUUUACCUGCUGGACGGCUUGCCCUGCGCGGGAGGCCAAGGCUACUGCCUGGAUGGCGCGUGUCCCACGCUGGAGCAGCAGUGCGCACAGCUCUGGGGGCCUGGUGAGAGCGUGCCCUAGCAUCUGGCCCCUCCUCGGGUCUGCCCUUUCCUCCCGUAGGCAGGAUCUGCUGAGGAACUGAGGCUCUCAGAGCGUGGACCGGGCUGGGGCUUCGGCUGCGCUGCCCCAGUGCCCCUCUUUGAUCUUCAGGCUCCCGCCCAGCCCCCGAGGCCUGUUUCCAGCUGGUGAACCCCGCGGGAGACGCCACUGGGAAUUGCGGCCAGGAUGGCUCUGGCCGCUUCCUGCCUUGUGCUCAGAGGGACACUCAGUGCGGGAAGCUGCAGUGCCAGGGCGGGGAGCCCAGCCCCCUAGUGCCACACAUCUUGCCUGUGGAGUCCACACUUCACUUAGACGGCCACCAGGUGGCUUGUCGUGCAGCUCUGGUGAUCCCCGAUGCCCAGCUGGACUUGCUGGACUUGGGCCUGGUAGAGCCCGGCACCCAGUGUGGUCCUAGAAUGGUGUGCCAGGACAGGCGCUGCCAGAACACUUCCUCCCAGGAGCUGGAGCGCUGCCUAACUACCUGCCACAACCAUGGGGUUUGCAAUAGCAACCAUAACUGCCACUGCUCUCCAGGCUGGGCUCCACCCUUCUGUGACAAGCCGGGUUCGGUGGCAGUGUGGACAGUGGCCCAGUGCACCCUGAAAAUGGCGACACGUUCCUUCUGGCAGUGCUCUUCAGCUUCCCUGCUCCCUCUGCUCCCCUGGGGUGGGCCUGGCCUGGUGCUACUCCGGCUCCUGGGCUCCACCUCCAGCGAUGCCCCGGGGCUAUAGGAGAGACCAGGAAUGCAGUGGGUAGGCUCUGAGCACUCAGACUGGGGAGGGGGGUGAGCCCUCCAAGCUCUUUGGGACUUGGGAAGCUGGCUGGGUCCUCAGCCUCACUCCCAGGUUCAGAAGGACCCUGGAGGCAGCAGAGCCCAGGAUGUGGGUCCCUGCCUCUAUUUGCAUCUGGCCUUGCCCUCCACUUCCCUUCCUGCCAUCCCACCCCCUCCAGACUCCCAAUUCUCCCACCAGGUGGCUGCCUCACCCUUGUCUUGGCCAGGGUUUUUCUCUAGCUUCCAGUGCAGUCCGGGAACUCCCUGUGUCUCCUGAGGCCUCUCCAGCUGUCUCAUGAGUUUUGACCUCUCUGCCACUUCUGCCCAAAUCACUCUGUCACCCCUUCAAAUUCCCCAGUGUUCAGCCCAACACAUCUUUGCCUUCUGUACCAUUGGUCAGCUAUGGUGGUGGCUGCUUUUGUGCCACAGCCCUGAACCCUAUUCUUUGUGACCUGGGAGGAGGGCCACAAAAUACUAAGUCUGGUCAACUUAGGGCUGUCCCUUUGCUGGGACCUUAUGGCCAUGUCUGACAGCCUGGCCCUGGGAGGUGCGCUGGGCUAGCUGAAGGACAAGCAGGUUUGGGCUGGAGAUGGGGACAGAGGUCAUCAUAGACAGGGGCAUGACAUCAGGCAGGCCGCAGGUGCCCACUGACAGGGAUUUGGCCCAGUUUAGUAGUGAAUGGACAAGGUGUAUAGCAGGGGAGGGGGCAUUUCAGGGGCAGUGGCUGUAAUUUGUCAUCAAGGAAGUGACAAGACCCUGGGAGAAGGACUUAAGGGCACCAAAGAUAGGGUGGAGUUACUGUGGGCAGCAGGGUAACCAAGGCAAGGAGCACAGGUGGUAUGGCUCCUACUGGGCAGAAAGACAUCCAGCUCUCUAUGGGACCUAAGCAAUGCCAACAUCUAGAGGGUUCCAGGAAGCUGGGGUGGUGCCAGCGCAGGGAAGAAAUAGCAGGGCUGGAGGAAGGAGGUGCUGGCAGCCCUGGAGGCCAUGGAUCCCAAGGAAAGAAGCCUGGAUCCCAAGGGCUUUUCUCAAGAAGGGACAAGAAGAAGCCCGAGAGAGUAACUCAGAGCAGAAGGGCGGGACAGUCAAUGUAGACCUUGGGCUGGGUGCCAUGCCAUGGCAAAAUGGUCCCCAGUGCCCCACUCAGGGUCACUCUUCCAACCUCCUGGCCUUUUAUCCCACUGCUCAGGCCCAAAGAUGGCCCUCUCAGGAACCAUAGCCUGGGUGGCAUUUACCUUGCGCAGUUGGGGUCCGUGGCCAUUGGAGACCCCCAGCCCCUGGGUAAGUGAGGCACCAGGGGAUGUGCAGAGGGAAAGGAAAGGGCAGGAUGGGGUCUUGCCCUCUGCCUCUGUCCCAGUAGGCCUGCCCUCACCACUCAGUACCCAGCCACCUGGAGUCUCCUGUCCUCCACCCAGAUGCAGAGGCUCCUGCCGACUGUGUCAGCAUUCAUUCUCCACUGUUGCUCCCAGACCCUGAGAACUCUGCCCAAGUUCAGCAGUCACCCUGAGAAGCCUGUGCCCUGCUGCCCUUUUUGAUCUACAAGGUAGGGUCAACUCCAAUGCUGAGUCCUCUUCCUCCCAUUGCUCAGCCACUGAUGUCCGCAUCUCAGGCAUCUGGGUUUGGGUUAAAAUGGAAAUGAGACAUCACUUCUUGGAGACCAGGAUGCUAGAAGUCCCUUGGGGCAAGUAUGGGGGAAGUUGUGGUUUUUCCUGGGUCUUGGGUCAUUACUGAAGGGAACAAGGGGUCCCUGCCACAUGAUUUGCAACCUGGGGCCCCAGCCCUUUCUUCUGCAUUAGAAUCUCAGCAGGUCAAGUCUAGACACCAAGAUCCUAUCUGUGGGGGAAAGGUGGCUCCUGAGAUGAGUAGACAGGUGACCACUGACAGCCAUUCCAGGAACUUGGAUCCCAAGGACAGACACAGCGAGUCAACUGAUCUCCUGCACCUUCUGAAGCUUGGAGGUUUCUUCCUGCCUUGUCAAGGAGCUCCAGGACCCAAGCUUCAUCAGAAGUUGCUUGAUGUUGUCCCUGCUCUUGAGGGCUGGGGCAUGCUGGGUACAGCUUCCAGCCCAAGAAUCCAUCCACAAAGGAUUGAAGGUCCCAUAGUCCCCAACCCCCAGCAGGGGAGGCCUCUGUCCUGGGAGCCUGGCUAUGUCUGCUUUGUGCACUUUCCCUCCAUGCAGCUCUCUGGAGGGCAGGGACUCCUGAGACUCAACAUUUCUGAUGGAGCCCACAUUUCCUGGAGCCUGGCCCUUGCAAACAAGCAAGCAAACAAAAUCUUUGAUAUCUCCUUUCUGGUCUCCUCCUACCCGUCCUGUAUCCGGGAAGCUUCUGUAGCCCCUACCCUGACUCCCAGUUCUCCAUCUGAGGUUGUAGAGGGUGUGGCCUUUUGCAGCCCUCUUCACUUGGACUUUACUCAGUCCUCCAUUCUGUAGGAGAGGCCUGAGGAGUCAGGUCAGGAAAGACAGUGUAGAGUCAGAAGAAAGGCAGGCUUCCUGGUGCCUCUGUGAAUCUUUUCUGUUGUAAAUUCAACCCUUGGGGUGUCCUGAGGGGCCACUUGGAGUGAUGUGGUGGGUGGAACCUCCAGUGGUAGCCAGGACACCUGGAUUCAGGAGGGUGUUGCCCAGGUUGAAUUAUCCCUUUGCUUGUCCCUCCUGUCCCUUUGAACAUUCUUGUCUCCUGUUGCUCAUGCCAGAGUUGCUGAGUGAUCUGUAUUAGGCAGCUGUUGCUUUGUAACAAAACCACCUCCAAAACUGAGUUGCUUAAAACAACAGGCAGUACAAUCAUACUUCUGAGGGUGUGAAGAAUUGGAGAAUCUUUGCUGUCUACCAUUGGGAUCCAGAGAAGCGGCAGCCCCAGCUCAUCUAUAGAUUCGUCAUGGUUCCAAUAAACAUCCCAAGACAGUUUUGGUUUUUUGGUGGGGCGGGGGGCUUGACAAACUGCUCCAAAAAUGGACAUGGAACAGCAAAAAUCCAGGAAAAACCAAAAGAAAUUAAAUUAAGAAAAAAGGCCGGGGAUUUAGUUCAGUGGUUCCACCACCUGCCUCUCAAGUGCAAGGACCCAAGUUUGAUCCCAGUACCAAAAAAAUAAAAUAAAUUAAGAAUAAAAUAAGGAACA